Molecule: ribosomal RNA, 253 nt
Filed under: uncultured bacterium
Lineage: Bacteria
Description: partial 16S ribosomal RNA
Rfam family: Bacterial small subunit ribosomal RNA
Source: RNAcentral
UACGUAGGGUGCGAGCGUUGUCCGGAAUUACUGGGCGUAAAGAGCUCGUAGGUGGUUUGUCGCGUUGUUCGUGAAAACCUGAGGCUUAACCUUGGGCGUGCGGGCGAUACGGGCAGACUGGAGUACUGCAGGGGAGACUGGAAUUCCUGGUGUAGCGGUGGAAUGCGCAGAUAUCAGGAGGAACACCGGUGGCGAAGGCGGCAUCCUGGACCAACACUGACACUGAGGAGCGAAAGCCAGGGGAGCAAACGGG